GUCGAACGAAGUAGCAAUACUUAGUGGCAGACGGGUGAGUAACACGUGGGUAUCUGCCCUUUGGCCUGGAAUAACACGAGGAAACUUGUGCUAAUACUGGAUAAGUCUUUACGGAGAAAGCUUUAUGCACCAUCGGAUGAGCCCGCACUUGAUUAGUUUGUUGGUGGGGUAAUGGCCUACCAAGACUGUGAUCAAUAGCUGAUUUGAGAGGAUGAUCAGCCACAUUGGGACUGAGACACGGCCCAAACUCCUACGGGAGGCAGCAGUGGGGAAUCUUGCACAAUGGAGGAAACUCUGAUGCAGCGAUGCCGCGUGAGUGAAGAAGGCCUUUGGGUUGUAAAGCUCUUUCGUCGGGGAAGAAAAUGACUGUACCCGAAUAAGAAGGUCCGGCUAACUUCGUGCCAGCAGCCGCGGUAAUACGAAGGGACCUAGCGUAGUUCGGAAUUACUGGGCUUAAAGAGUUCGUAGGUGGUUGAAAAAGUUGGUGGUGAAAUCCCAGAGCUUAACUCUGGAACUGCCAUCAAAACUUUUUCAGCUAGAGUUUGAUAGAGGAAAAGCA
Molecule: ribosomal RNA, 559 nt
Filed under: uncultured marine bacterium
Lineage: Bacteria
Description: bacterial SSU rRNA
Rfam family: Bacterial small subunit ribosomal RNA
Source: RNAcentral